AGCUUUGCGCAGUGGCAGUAUCGUAGCAAAUGAGGUUAAUCCGAGGAGCGAUUAAUGCUAAUUGAAAACUUUUCCCAAUACCCCGCCAUGAUGACUUGAAAACUACAGCUUCCAGGAUAGCUCAGUCUGUAG
Small nuclear RNA from Lacerta agilis (Sand lizard), 132 nucleotides. RefSeq annotates it as U4 spliceosomal RNA. The record is from RefSeq and is a predicted model, not a curated record. The transcript has a single exon. NCBI's taxonomy places the organism in Eukaryota, Metazoa, Chordata, Lepidosauria, Squamata, Lacertidae.